GCUGGCGGCAGGCCUAACACAUGCAAGUCGAACGGAGUUAUAUUGUAGCUUGCUAUGGUAUAACUUAGUGGCAGACGGGUGAGUAAUGUAUAGGAAUCUACCUAGUAGUACGGAAUAAUUGUUGGAAACGGCAACUAAUACCGUAUACGCCCUACGGGGGAAAAAUUUAUUGCUAUUAGAUGAGCCUAUAUUAGAUUAGCUAGUUGGUGGAGUAAUAGCCUACCAAGGCAAUGAUCUAUAGCUGAUCUGAGAGGAUGAUCAGCCACACUGGAACUGAGAUACGGUCCAGACUCCUACGGGAGGCAGCAGUGGGGAAUAUUGGACAAUGGGCGAAAGCCUGAUCCAGCCAUGCCGCAUGAGUGAAGAAGGCCUUUGGGUUGUAAAGCUCUUUUAGUGAGGAAGAUAAUGACGGUACUCACAGAAGAAGUCCUGGCUAACUCCGUGCCAGCAGCCGCGGUAAUACGGAGAGGGCUAGCGUUAUUCGGAAUUAUUGGGCGUAAAGGGCGCGUAGGCGGAUUAGUAAGUUAAAAGUGAAAUCCCAAGGCUCAACCUUGGAAUUGCUUUUAAAACUGCUAAUCUAGAGAUUGAAAGAGGAUAGAGGAAUUCCUAGUGUAGAGGUGAAAUUCGUAAAUAUUAGGAGGAACACCAGUGGCGAAGGCGUCUAUCUGGUUCAAAUCUGACGCUGAGGCGCGAAGGCGUGGGGAGCAAACAGGAUUAGAUACCCUGGUAGUCCACGCUGUAAACGAUGAAUGUUAAAUAUGGGAAGUUUUACUUUCUGUAUUACAGCUAACGCGUUAAACAUUCCGCCUGGGGACUACGGUCGCA
This 825-nucleotide ribosomal RNA is filed under the name uncultured bacterium. RNAcentral's name for it is "bacterial SSU rRNA". It matches the Rfam family "Bacterial small subunit ribosomal RNA", at positions 35 to 890 of the family's 1533-position model. The record is from RNAcentral.